Sulfobacillus thermosulfidooxidans is the source of this 2901-nucleotide non-coding RNA. NCBI's taxonomy places the organism in Bacteria, Bacillati, Bacillota, Clostridia, Eubacteriales, Clostridiales Family XVII. Incertae Sedis. The record is from Rfam.
GAGAAAGAGACAACCAGCACACGGGGGAUGCCUCGGGUGCGGAUGGGGCGAAGAAGGUCGUGGCACGCCACGAAAGGCCUCGGGGAGCGGCGUCGCACGCAACGAUCCGAGGGUCACCGAAUGGGGAAACCCCCAGACCGGCAGGUCUGGACGGUUCGCCACAGGGCGAAACCGAGUCCAAAGCGGGGAACUGAAACAUCUCAGUACCUGCGUCGAGAAAGCGUCAGCGAAUCCCGUAGUAGCGGCGAGCGAACCGGGACGAGUCCAAACGUUCGAGGCGUGACCGGACAUACCGGCGCCUCGGGCGGGUUGCGGGCCUGUCUUGUCGGCGUAUGUCGACCGACACCGGCUCUGCGCCGUCGAUCCGAAGCUGUUGGAAUGCAGCGCCCCAGCGGGUGAGAGCCCCGUCGGAGCAGACGCGCGUAGACCGGGACAGGUUCCAGAGUACCACGGUCCUCGUGGAAGACCGUGGGAAGCCGGGCGGCCCACCGCCCAAGACUCCCGACCAUCCGUCACCGAUAGCGCAGAGUACCGUGAGGGAACGGUGAAAAGCCCCCCGGGAGGGGAGUGAAAGAGAUCCUGAAACCGUGUGCUGUCAAGCCGUCAGAGUGGGGUUCGCCUCAUGAUGGCGUGCCUAUUGAAGAAUGAACCGGCGAGUGACCGGCAGGCCGCGAGGUUAACGACCGCGAGGUCGGGAGCCGGAGCGCAAGCGAGUCUGAAGAGGGCGGCCAGUGGCCGCCGGUCGACCCGAAACCGUGUGAUCUAGCCGGCGCCAGGCUGCAAUCCCCUUAAGCCGGGAUGAAGGGCCGCACCCGUGUCCGUUGAAAAGGGCUGGGACGAGCGGCGGCUAGGGGUGAAAUGCCAAUCGAACACGGAGAUAGCUGGUUCUCCCCGAAAUCGCUUGAGGGCGAGCCUCCCCGACCAAUACCGACGGGGUAGCGCUCUGUGAAUGGAAGGGGUCCGUGAAGGAUUACUGCCUGUUCGCAAACGACAAAGUCGUCGGUAGGCGGGAGAGAGUCAGACGUUGGGGGAUAAGCUCCAAGGUCAAAAGGGUAAGAGCCCAGAUCGUCCGCUAAGGUCCCCAAAUGACCACUGAGUGGCAAAGGUCGUCGCGUGAUCGAGACAGCCAGGAGGUUGGCUUAGAAGCAGCCAUCCUUGAAAGAGUGCGUAAUAGCUCACUGGUCGCAGUCGCGCGGCGCCGAGAAUGUGCGGGGCUAAGUGGUCUACCGAAGCGGCGAAUCGGCCUCCUUGGGAGGCCGGUGGUAGGGGAGCGUCCGCCGGGGGGCGAAGCGUGCGGGGAACCGUGCGUGGACCGCGGCGGAGUGCGAAUGCCGGUAUGAGUAGCGAAAAGGCCCGUGAGAAUCGGGCCCGCCGAAAGCCGCAGGGUUCCGGAGGCAGGAUCGUCCGCUCCGGGUUAGUCGGGCCUAAGGCGAGGCCGUUCAGGCGUAGUCGAUGGAGACACGGUGGAGAUUCCGUGACCAGCCGAUCACCGCGAAGGGAGCAGGACGUGGUCCGCGGGGGUCUGCGCCCCGUUGGUCGUGGGCGUCCCGCAAGGGGGACGGAACCGCAAGUACGGAAGAGAGCUCGGCGGACCACCGAGAAAAGUGCAACUGGAGUGAUCGGGUGUCCGUACCCGAAACCGACACAGGUAGGCGAGGCGAGGAGCCUCAGGCGCGCGAGUGACCUCUCGUUAAGGAACUCGGCAAAUUACCCCCGUAACUUCGGGAGAAGGGGGCCCGGCCGCAGCCGCGGCCGGGGGCACUACAGCGGCCCAAGCGACUGUUUACCAAAAACACAGGUCCCUGCGAAGUCGUAAGACGCCGUAUAGGGGCUGACGCCUGCCCGGUGCUGGAAGGUUAAGGUGAGGGGUGCAAGCUCCGACCCGAAGCCCCAGUCAACGGCGGCCGUAACUAUAACGGUCCUAAGGUAGCGAAAUUCCUUGUCGGGUAAGUUCCGACCCGCACGAAAGGCGUAACGACUUGGGCACUGUCUCAACGAGAGACUCGGUGAAAUUGCAAGUCCUGUGAAGAUGCAGGAUACUUACGACUGGACAGAAAGACCCCGUGGAGCUUUACUGUAGCCUGCCAUGGAACGCGCGCGACGUGUGUACAGGAUAGGUGGGAGGCGGAGAAGCCGCCGCGUUAGCGGCGGGGGAGCCAUCCUUGGGAUACCACCCUCACGGCGUGCACGAUCUAACCGCCGCCGUCACCCGGCGCGGGACAGUGGCAGGGGGGCAGUUUGACUGGGGCGGUCGCCUCCUAAAGCGUAACGGAGGCGCCCCAUGGUUCCCUCAGCACGGUUGGACAGCGUGCAGGGCGUGCAAAGGCACAAGGGAGCUUGACUGCGAGCGUGACAACGCGAGCAGAGCCGAAAGGCGGGCUUAGUGAUCCGGUGGCACCGCGUGGCAGGGCCAUCGCGCAACGGAUAAAAGCUACCCCGGGGAUAACAGGCUGAUCUUCCCCAAGAGUCCAUAUCGACGGGAAGGUUUGGCACCUCGAUGUCGGCUCAUCGCAUCCUGGGGCUGAAGUCGGUCCCAAGGGUUUGGCUGUUCGCCAAUUAAAGCGGUACGUGAGCUGGGUUCAGAACGUCGUGAGACAGUUCGGUCCCUCUCCGUCGUAAGCGGUGGAUACUUGAGGGGCGCGACUCCUAGUACGAGAGGACCGGAGUGGACGAACCGCUGGUGUGCCCAGUUGUGUUGCCCAAUGCAGCGCUGGGAAGCUAGGUUCGGAGCGGAGAAGCGCUGACCGCAUCUAAGCGCGAAACCGACCCCAAGAUGAGGUAUCCGAGGCGGCCUAUGGGCCGCCACGAGACCCCCACACGACCAGUGGGUAGAUAGGUGGUCCGUGGACACCCGGUAACGGGCGGAGCGAGACCAUACUAAUCGGUCGAGAUCUUUCUCCU